GAAACAAACACUAAAGGCCAGGCUCCGUCAUGGGAAGGGAUUACCAGAAGGACAGAGAAAGAACUUGGAGUGCUUGUAUUCUUAAGAAUAUACGCAUGUUCUAGCAGAUCGGGCAGCAUCUGUGGCAAGGGAAACAGAAUGAUCACUUUGGAGUGCCUCAUUCGCAGAGCCACGAAUUUGGGUCCCAAGGCCCAUCUGCUCAUCAACACUGUUACAGCAGCACUCAAAGACUGAGGUUCAGCAUGACGGUGUGUUGCCGUUCUCAGAGCUCGCUGAUCGGCUGCGUUUCGACAUAACCAGGUGCCUUUAGGGCCCGCAGGGCUCUACAGAGACAAGUUCUCGGUGGCGUCGCGUACUGAAGCACAACGGGAGCUGGAACCUCGAAGACAGCAAGAGUGGCUGUUGGAGAGCUCUGCACUCGGUAAGCCGAAUCUUGAGUUGGAGAACACGAAGCAAGCAAUGGUUCAGACUGACUGUAAUAUCAAAAUAGCGACUGUUUUCUCCUCUGUCACAGUGGAAGGAGUGAUAUCUGUGGAGCGAGCCUGUUGAAUGUUGGAGUGAACAGUUAGUUCUUGAUGUAUUGUAAACCAUGAUAAUAGACAAUAGGUGCAGGAGUAGGCCAUUUGGCCCUUCUAGCCAGCACGGCCAUUCACUGUGAUCAUGGCUGAUCAUAGACAAUUAGUAUCCCGUUCCUGCCCUCUCCCAUAUCCCUUGACCCCGCUAUCUAUAAGAGCUCUAUCUAAUCUUUAGG
Hypanus sabinus (Atlantic stingray) is the source of this 751-nucleotide long non-coding RNA. RefSeq lists it as uncharacterized. The record is from RefSeq and is a predicted model, not a curated record. The transcript is spliced from 4 exons. NCBI's taxonomy places the organism in Eukaryota, Metazoa, Chordata, Chondrichthyes, Myliobatiformes, Dasyatidae.